AUUGAACGCUGGCGGCAUGCCUUACACAUGCAAGUCGAACGGUAACGGGCCUUCGGGUGCCGACGAGUGGCGAACGGGUGAGUAAUGUAUCGGGACGUACCUUUCAGUGGGGGAUAACGUAGCGAAAGUUACGCUAAUACCGCAUAUUCUGUGAGCAGGAAAGCAGGGGAUCGCAAGACCUUGCGCUGAUUGAGCGGCCGAUAUCAGAUUAGCUAGUUGGUGAGGUAAAGGCUCACCAAGGCGACGAUCUGUAGCGGGUCUGAGAGGAUGAUCCGCCACACUGGAACUGAGACACGGUCCAGACUCCUACGGGAGGCAGCAGUGGGGAAUUUUGGACAAAUGGGGGGCAACCCUGAUCCAGCCAUGCCGCGUGAGUGAAGAAGGCCUCGGUUGGUU
RNAcentral lists this ribosomal RNA (396 nucleotides) under uncultured bacterium. RNAcentral's name for it is "bacterial SSU rRNA". It matches the Rfam family "Bacterial small subunit ribosomal RNA", at positions 30 to 424 of the family's 1533-position model. The record is from RNAcentral.